GAGAUAGAGCUUCCCCUUCGGGGGCAAAGUGACAGGUGGUGCAUGGUUGUCGUCAGCUCGUGUCGUGAGAUGUUGGGUUAAGUCCCGCAACGAGCGCAACCCUUAUUGUUAGUUGCCAUCAUUUAGUUGGGCACUCUAGCGAGACUGCCGGUGACAAACCGGAGGAAGGUGGGGAUGACGUCAAAUCAUCAUGCCCCUUAUGACCUGGGCUACACACGUGCUACAAUGGGAAGUACAACGAGUUGCGAAGUCGCGAGGCUAAGCUAAUCUCUUAAAGCUUCUCUCAGUUCGGAUUGUAGGCUGCAACUCGCCUACAUGAAGCCGGAAUCGCUAGUAAUCGCGGAUCAGCACGCCGCGGUGAAUACGUUCCCGGGCCUUGUACACACCGCCCGUCACACCACGAGAGUUUGUAACACCCGAAGUCGGUGAGGUAACCUUUUUGGAGCCAGCCGCCUAAGGUGGGAUAGAUGAUUGGGGUGAAGUCGUAACAAGGUAGCCGUAUCGGA
Molecule: ribosomal RNA, 506 nt
Filed under: Listeria monocytogenes
Lineage: Bacteria; Bacillati; Bacillota; Bacilli; Caryophanales; Listeriaceae
Description: bacterial SSU rRNA
Rfam family: Bacterial small subunit ribosomal RNA
Source: RNAcentral